GAUGAACGCUAGCUACAGGCUUAACACAUGCAAGUCGAGGGGCAGCAUGGUCUUAGCUUGCUAAGGCCGAUGGCGACCGGCGCACGGGUGAGUAACACGUAUCCAACCUGCCGUCUACUCUUGGACAGCCUUCUGAAAGGAAGAUUAAUACAAGAUGGCAUCAUGAGUCCGCAUGUUCACAUGAUUAAAGGUAUUCCGGUAGACGAUAGGGAUGCGUUCCAUUAGAUAGUAGGCGGGGUAACGGCCCACCUAGUCUUCGAUGGAUAGGGGUUCUGAGAGGAAGGUCCCCCANAUUGGAACUGAGCACGGUCCAAACUCUACGGGAGCAGCAGUGAGGAAUAUUGGGUCCAAUGGGCGAGAGCCUGAACC
Molecule: ribosomal RNA, 369 nt
Filed under: uncultured bacterium
Lineage: Bacteria
Description: bacterial SSU rRNA
Rfam family: Bacterial small subunit ribosomal RNA
Source: RNAcentral